AAUCUGUCAUGGAUAACCUAGUGGGAGGCCCACCGCCAAGCUAGCGACCUUGCUUCGACCUUCGGUCAGCGGGUACGCGUGCCCGGUACGAACCCUGGGGUCGCCGCCACACUCGUGCGAGUAAUCCACGACGCUGUGAGGCGCUAAGCAAUGGAAGUGAACCUUGAGGGAAGCAAUUCUGCAGAGACACUUCCACCCUGGGGUGGCGUCGCCGGAAUACAUCGUCCCGUUACAGGGAAGCUGGCUGCUUGGUGAGACGACUGCACCUUUUUU
Molecule: signal recognition particle RNA, 273 nt
Filed under: Penicillium subrubescens
Lineage: Eukaryota; Fungi; Ascomycota; Eurotiomycetes; Eurotiales; Aspergillaceae
Description: Fungal signal recognition particle RNA
Rfam family: Fungal signal recognition particle RNA
Source: Rfam by way of RNAcentral